RNAcentral lists this ribosomal RNA (465 nucleotides) under uncultured bacterium. RNAcentral's name for it is "bacterial SSU rRNA". It matches the Rfam family "Bacterial small subunit ribosomal RNA", at positions 34 to 518 of the family's 1533-position model. The record is from RNAcentral.
CGCUGGCGGCGUGCCUAACACAUGCAAGUCGAGCGAUGAAGCCCUUCGGGGUGAAUUAGCGGCGGACGGGUGAGUAACACGUGGGUAACCUGCCUUAUAGAGGGGGAUAGCCUUCCGAAAGGAAGAUUAAUACCGCAUGAAAUGUUUUUAUCACAUGGUAGAAACAUCAAAGGAGUAAUCCGCUAUAAGAUGGACCCGCGGCGCAUUAGCUAGUUGGUGAGGUAACGGCCCACCAAGGCGACGAUGCGUAGCCGACCUGAGAGGGUGAUCGGCCACAUUGGAACUGAGACACGGUCCAGACUCCUACGGGAGGCAGCAGUGGGGAAUAUUGCGCAAUGGGGGAAACCCUGACGCAGCAACGCCGCGUGAAUGAAGAAGGCCUUAGGGUUGUAAAGUUCUGUUUUCUGGGACGAUAAUGACGGUACCAGAGGAGGAAGCCACGGCUAACUACGUGCCAGCCGCCGC